ACACCUUAAUCCUCGCCCUUUCCCUAUACCACGCUCUUCCACUGGUGAUGGCAAAUAGCCAGUUACGAGGCAGGCCAAGCUGGUGUCCGGGGGCGCAUUGCCGGUCUUGCUGCAGCAGGGAACCAGGGGGAAGACGGAGGGCGUUGUGGGGGUCGCUG
Molecule: long non-coding RNA, 158 nt
Organism: Chelonia mydas (Green sea turtle)
Lineage: Eukaryota; Metazoa; Chordata; Testudines; Cheloniidae
Exons: 3
Source: RefSeq, a predicted model, not a curated record